Molecule: ribosomal RNA, 233 nt
Filed under: uncultured bacterium
Lineage: Bacteria
Description: partial 16S ribosomal RNA
Rfam family: Bacterial small subunit ribosomal RNA
Source: RNAcentral
UGAGCAAUCUGCCCUUCUCUUCGGAAUAAGCGUUGGAAACGACGUCUAAUGCCGAAUACGACCUCCUUUCGCAUGAUCGGAGGUGGAAAGCUCCGGCGGAGAAGGAUGAGCUCGAGGCCUAUCAGCUAGUUGGUGUGGGUAAUGGCCCACCAAGGCGACGACGGGUAGCCGGCCUGAGAGGGUGACCGGCCACACUGGGACUGAGACACGGCCCAGACUCCUACGGGAGGNAG